Molecule: long non-coding RNA, 823 nt
Organism: Oncorhynchus tshawytscha (Chinook salmon)
Lineage: Eukaryota; Metazoa; Chordata; Actinopteri; Salmoniformes; Salmonidae
Source: Ensembl
CUGUAAUGCUUAUGGGGGAGGUGUUGCUGUAUAUAUUCAGAGACAUAUCCCUGUAAUGCUUAUGGGGGAGGUGUUGCUAUAUAUAUUCAGAGACAUAUCCCUGUAAUGCUUAUGGGGGAGGUGUUGCUAUAUAUAUUCAGAGACAUAUCCCUGUAAUGCUUAUGGGGGAGGUGUUGCUAUAUAUAUUCAGAGACAUAUCCCUGUAAUGCUUAUGGGGGAGGUGUUGCUGUAUAUAUUCAGAGACAUAUCCCUGUAAGGCUUAUGGGGGAGGUGUUGCUGUAUAUUUUCAGAUCCAUAUCCCUGUAAUGCUUAUGGGGGAGGUGCUGUAUAUUUUCAGAUCCAUAUCCCUGUAAUGCUUAUGGGGGAGGUGCUGUAUAUUUUCAGAGACAUAUCCCUGUAAUGCUUAGAGAAGAUGUCAAGUGAUAUUGAAGUGUUGUGGUUGCAGGUUCACUUGACACAUCUAGAGCCUUUUCUUUUGGGGUGUUUCUAUAGGCCACUAAGUGCUAACCAAGUAUAUAAAUAAUAUGUGUGAAAUGCUUGAUAGUGUAUGUGAUGUAAACAAAGAGGUCUACUUUCUUGGGGACCUGAAUAUUGACUGUUUUCCAUGAAGCUGUCCCUUCAAGAGGAAGCUUUUCACUGUAACCAGUGCCUGUAAUCUGGUUCAGGUUAUUAAUCGUUCUACCAGGGUGUUUACAAACACUACAGGAACAAGAUUAUCCACAUACACUACUGUUCAAAAGUUUGGGGUCACGUAGAAAUGUCCUUGUUUUUGAAAGAAAACCACAUUUUUUGUCCAUUAAAAUAACAUCAAAUUGAUCAGAAA